AUGGCGAGGCCGGACGAGAGCUGGGCGCGGAACACCUCCCCGGGGGACGACGCGUCCACGAGCCACGCGCCCCACCCGGAGGGCGCCUCGCCGGACUUGCUGCGGAACACGCCGUCCAACAUCGCUAGGCUCGAGGACGCGAUCGAGAACUGCGCCGCCCGCCGCAAGUACCUCGCUCGCACCAAGAGCCCCUCCGACGGCGAGGACGUCCGCUGGUACUUCUGCAAGCUCCCCCUCGGAGACAGAGUGCUCUCUUCUUCAGUUCCGCGGACGGAGAUAGUUGGGAAAGGAGACUAUUUCAGGUUCAGCAUGAGGGACUGUUUGGCGUUGGAGGCGUCUUUCUUAGAGAGAGAGGAAUCACUACUUGGGUACUGGUGGAGGGAGUAUGCGGAAUGCAGUGAAGGGCCAACAGGUUCCUUGGUUAAAGCUGAUAUGUCAGACUCUGAAUAUUUGUAUAAGGUGGAGGAGGAGCGGGUUGGGGUUCCUGUGAAAGGUGGACUAUAUGAGGUUGAUUUGAUGAGACGUCAUUGCUUCCCUGUAUAUUGGAAUGGUGAGAAUAGACGUGUUUUGAGGGGCCACUGGUUUGCUCGAAAAGGAGGUCUUGAUUGGAUUCCCUUGCGUGAAGAUGUUUCUGAACAACUUGAGUUAGCAUAUAAGUACCAGGUCUGGCAUCGUCGUAAAUUUCAACCUUCAGGCCUGUUUGCUGCGCGGGUCGAUCUCCAAGGAAGUACACCGGGAUUGCAUGCUCUUUUUACAGGAGAGGAUGAUACUUGGGAAGCUUGGCUUGUCUUUGAUACAGGUCCUAAACUAGGCAGCAACACAAUCAAAUUAAGGCGUGGUUUCUCUUCUUCUGGAUCUGCAAAUCCUACCCAGGAUGAGUUGCGUCAACAGAAAGAAGAGGAAACAGAUGAUUACUGCUCUCAGGUUCCAGUUGGUCAUUUGGUAUUCAUGGUUCAUGGUAUCGGACAGAGAUUGGAGAAAGCUAAUCUUGUUGAUGAUGUAGUCGAUUUCCGCCGUGUGACCGCUAACCUAGCAGAUAGAUACUUAACUCCUUAUCAAAGAAGUACACAGAGGGUCCUAUUUAUUCCCUGUCAGUGGAGGAAGAGUUUGAAGCUCGGUGGUGAAAACACAGUCGAGAAGAUCACUUUGGAUGGAGUUAAAGGUCUUCGUGUAGCGUUAGGCGCCACCGUUCAUGAUGUUCUAUAUUACAUGAGUCCUAUCUACUGCCAGCAUAUAAUUGACUCGGUCUCGGGUCAGUUGAACCAACUGUAUAUGAAGUUUCUGAAGAGAAAUCCUGGUUACAGUGGAAAGGUAUCAUUAUAUGGCCAUUCGUUGGGAAGUGUUCUAACGUAUGAUAUACUUUGCCACCAAGAAUCCCUUUCCGCCCCAUUUCCAACAGAUUAUUUUAAGAUGGAAGUUUCGUCUGAUGAAGGCCAAGUAGGAAAAGGACCCAACACAAUUGAUCAUGACUCUGGUGUAAAAGAGCAUGAUACUUCUUCCACUUCAGGGCAUUCAUGUGUAGAUAAUGUAAAUCGUGUGGAUGAAGAGAGCACCAGAACUGAUCAUUCACUUACAGACAAGACUGUUCUGCCAUGUGUGCUUGAAAAUGUGCCAAACAAUGAUGAUGCACUUGAAUCACCUAUUCCAGUUGAUGGGGUGCAAACUGAAGUCGAAAAUCAGGUUGAGAAUCAUCAAAUGACAUAUACUGAAGGAGUUACUCCAGCUGUAAGCACAAAAGAUGCUGAUGAGUGCAUUUCAAGAUCCGCCAAGGAACUCCAUGAGGUCCCUGACAAAGACAGAUUAAUCUCAUCACUAGAAGAAGAGGUGAGCCAUCUUAAAGCUAAACUAGCGGAACUUGAGCGACAGAGUGAUUCAGUGAUUCAAAGCAUCAGUAGUGUUCAGUCUCAUCAAGAUAAAGAUGCUAAUGAUACAGUGAGCCUAGUAUCAGACAAACUUAACAUAGGGCAAGGUAGCACAAGUCAGUCCUACAGACCACGUAUUAGAUACACUAAACUAAAUUUUAAGGUUGACACAUUCUUUGCUGUUGGAUCCCCUUUGGGAGUCUUCCUGUCGCUGCGGAAUGUUCGUAUUGGUGUUGGCAGGGGACAAGAUUAUUGGCAAGACAAGAACGUUGUUGAAGAGAUGCCAUGCUGCAGGCAGAUGUUCAAUGUUUUUCAUCCUUUCGAUCCUGUAGCAUACAGAGUUGAACCACUUGUAUGUGAAGAUUAUGUGAACAAGCGCCCUGUUGUUAUACCCUACCAUAGAGGCGGAAAGAGGAUACAUGUUGGAGUGCAGGAGUUCACAGAAGACGUUGCUGCACGUUCUCAGGCUAUUGCCCGUCAAUUCAAGUCAUUGAAGGUCAAAGCGGUAGCUGCCUUGUUAUCACUGAGCAAAAAUGACACGGAAGAGGACGAUGAGAGCACCAAGGAGGAGGAGAGAUCAUAUGGUUCCAUGAUGAUGGAAAGGCUGACUGGUUCACCGGAUGGUCGAGUUGAUCAUGUGCUUCAGGAGAAAACAUUUCAACAUCCAUAUUUAUCCGCUCUGGGAUCUCAUACCAACUACUGGCGGGAUCAUGAUACUGCUCUCUUCAUUAUCAAACAUUUGUACCGUGAUAUACCUGAAGAACCUCCAACUGAUGGAACUGGAAGUGCACCCAUUAGACUGUUCUAUGUGAGGGAUCCAAUUGCUGAAGACACUCCCCUGACAUUUUCAGACCACUCCUCAGUUAAGGAAUUCUCCAGGAAGGUGAAAACUUAUUCGAGAAAGGGGGAGGAUGAUGCAAACUGUGAAGCCUCUUGA
Molecule: ribosomal RNA, 2799 nt
Filed under: Triticum aestivum (bread wheat)
Lineage: Eukaryota; Viridiplantae; Streptophyta; Magnoliopsida; Poales; Poaceae
Description: partial small subunit ribosomal RNA
Source: RNAcentral